Molecule: ribosomal RNA, 808 nt
Filed under: uncultured bacterium
Lineage: Bacteria
Description: bacterial SSU rRNA
Rfam family: Bacterial small subunit ribosomal RNA
Source: RNAcentral
AGAGUUUGAUCAUGGCUCAGAACGAACGUNNAGCGGCGCGCCUAACACAUGCAAGUCGCACGAGAAAGGGCUUCGGCCCCGGUACAGUGGCGCACGGGUGAGUAACACGUGGGUAAUCUGCCUUCGAGCGGGGGAUAACAUUCCGAAAGGAGUGCUAAUACCGCAUAAGACCACGCCUCCGAAAAGGAGAAGCGGUCAAAGCUGGCCUCUAUACAUAAGCUAGCACUCGAAAAUGAGCCCGCGGAGCAUCAGCUAGUUGGUGAGGUAAUGGCUCACCAAGGCUUAGACGCUUAGCUGGUCUGAGAGGAUGAUCAGCCACACUGGAACUGAGACACGGUCCAGACUCCUACGGGAGGCAGCAGUGGGGAAUCUUGCGCAAUGGGCGAAAGCCUGACGCAGCGACGCCGCGUGAGUGAUGAAGGCCUUCGGGUUGUAAAGCUCUGUGGGGAGAGAAGAAUAAGUGCGGGCUAAUACUCCGCAUGAUGACGGUAUCUCCUUAGCAAGCACCGGCUAACUCUGUGCCAGCAGCCGCGGUAAGACAGAGGGUGCAAACGUUGUUCGGAAUUACUGGGCGUAAAGCGAGUGUAGGCGGUUUGAUAAGUCGGAUGUGAAAGCCCCGGGCUCAACCCGGGAAGUGCACUCGAUACUGUCAAGCUAGAGUAUCGGAGAGUGGUGGAAUUCUCGGUGUAGAGGUGAAAUUCGUAGAUAUCGAGAGGAACACCGGUGGCGAAGGCGGCCAACUGGACGAAUACUGACGCUGAGACUCGAAAGCGUGGGGAGCAAACAGGAUUAGAUACCCUAGUAGUCC